RNAcentral lists this small RNA (572 nucleotides) under uncultured fungus. RNAcentral's name for it is "eukaryotic LSU rRNA". The stretch from base 137 to 291 matches the Rfam family "5.8S ribosomal RNA". The record is from RNAcentral. Lineage: Eukaryota; Fungi.
GCCACUCACACCUGUGCACCCUCUGUAGUUCCAUGGCGUGGGGGACUCUGUCCUCCUGUUGUGGUCCUACGUCUWUACACACACUCUGUAACAAAGUCUCAUGGAAUGCAAUGACGCGUUUAACGCAAUACAAUACAACUUUCAGCAACGGAUCUCUUGGCUCUCGCAUCGAUGAAGAACGCAGCGAAAUGCGAUAAGUAAUGUGAAUUGCAGAAUUCAGUGAAUCAUCGAAUCUUUGAACGCACCUUGCGCCCUUUGGCUGUUCCGAAGGGCAUGCCUGUUUGAGUAUCGUGAACACCUCAACUCUCAUGGUUUGCCAUGAUGAGCUUGGACUUUGGGGGUUUUGCUGGCCUUUGGUCGGCUCCUCUCAAACGGAUCAGCUUUCCAGUGUUUGGUGGACGUCACGGGUGUGAUAACUAUCUACGCCUGUGGUUUUCUGCCAGAUAACCUUCAGCGAUGGAGGUUCGCUGGGGCUCAUAAAUGUCUCUCUUCAGRGGAAACAGCUUUUUGGACGUAUGAUCUCAAAUCAGGUAGGACUACCCGCUGAACUUAAGCAUAUCAAUAAGCGGAGG